RNAcentral lists this ribosomal RNA (751 nucleotides) under uncultured archaeon. RNAcentral's name for it is "bacterial SSU rRNA". It matches the Rfam family "Archaeal small subunit ribosomal RNA", at positions 6 to 763 of the family's 1478-position model. The record is from RNAcentral.
GGUUGAUCCUGCCGGACCUGACUGCUAUCGGAUUGAUACUAAGCCAUGCGAGUCAUUGUAGCAAUACAAGGCAUACGGCUCAGUAACGCGUAGUCAACCUAACCUAUGGACGGAAAUAACCUCGGGAAACUGAGAAUAAUGUCCGAUAGAACACUAUACCUGGAAUGGUUUGUGUUCCAAAUGAUUUAUCGCCGUAGGAUGGGACUGCGGCCUAUCAGUUUGUUGGUGAGGUAAUGGCCCACCAAGACUAUUACAGGUACGGGCUCUGAGAGGAGUAGCCCGGAGAUGGGUACUGAGACACGGACCCAGGCCCUAUGGGGCGCAGCAGGCGAGAAAACUUUGCAAUGUGCGAAAGCACGACAAGGUUAAUCCGAGUGGUUUCUGCUAAAGAAACCUUUUGCUAGUCCUAGAAACACUAGUGAAUAAGGGGUGGGCAAGUUCUGGUGUCAGCCGCCGCGGUAAAACCAGCGCCUCAAGUGGUCAGGAUGAUUAUUGGGCCUAAAGCAUCCGUAGCUCGUUUUGUAAGUUUUCGGUUAAAUCCAUACGCUCAACGUAUGGGCUGCCGGGAAUACUGCAUAACUAGGAAGUGGGAGAGGUAGACGGUACUCGGUAGGAAGGGGUAAAAUCCUUUGAUCUAUUGAUGACCACCUGUGGCGAAGGCGGCCUACCAGAACACGUUCGACGGUGAGGGAUGAAAGCUGGGGGAGCAAACCGGAUUAGAUACCCGGGUAGUCCCAGCUGUAAACUAUGC